This 73-nucleotide transfer RNA is filed under the name Halothece sp. PCC 7418. Its description in RNAcentral is "tRNA-Arg (CCG) (tRNA-Arg-CCG-1-1)". It matches the Rfam family "tRNA". Rfam says of the family: Transfer RNA (tRNA) molecules are approximately 80 nucleotides in length. Lineage: Bacteria; Bacillati; Cyanobacteriota; Cyanophyceae; Chroococcales; Halothecacae. RNAcentral also lists the same sequence under 26 other names. The record is from Rfam by way of RNAcentral.
GGGCGCGUAGCUCAGUGGAUAGAGCACCAGAUUCCGGUUCUGGGUGUCGGAGGUUCAAAUCCUCCCGUGCUCG